GCGGGWAUUCGAUUGGAAACAGGUGCUAAUACCGCAUAACAACUUGGACCGCAUGGUCCGAGUUUGAAAGAUGGCUUCGGCUAUCACUUUUGGAUGGUCCCGCGGCGUAUUAGCUAGAUGGUGGGGUAACGGCUCACCAUGGCAAUGAUACGUAGCCGACCUGAGAGGGUAAUCGGCCACAUUGGGACUGAGACACGGCCCAAACUCCUACGGGAGGCAGCAGUAGGGAAUCUUCCACUAUGGACGAAAGUCUGAUGGAGCAACGCCGCGUGAGUGAAGAAGGGUUUCGGCUCGUAAAACUCUGUUGUUAAAGAAGAACAUAUCUGAGAGUAACUGUUCAGGUAUUGACGGUAUUUAACCAGAAAGCCACGGCUAACUACGUGCCAGCAGCCGCGGUAAUACGAUAAUCACUAGUGAAUUCGCGGCCGCCUGCAGGUCGACCAUAUGGGAGAGCUCCCAACGCGU
RNAcentral lists this ribosomal RNA (465 nucleotides) under Lactiplantibacillus plantarum. RNAcentral describes it as "bacterial SSU rRNA". The stretch from base 1 to 416 matches the Rfam family "Bacterial small subunit ribosomal RNA", at positions 138 to 540 of the family's 1533-position model. Lineage: Bacteria; Bacillati; Bacillota; Bacilli; Lactobacillales; Lactobacillaceae. The record is from RNAcentral.